This 282-nucleotide ribosomal RNA is filed under the name uncultured bacterium. Its description in RNAcentral is "partial 16S ribosomal RNA". It matches the Rfam family "Bacterial small subunit ribosomal RNA", at positions 524 to 794 of the family's 1533-position model. The record is from RNAcentral.
UACAGAGGGUGCAAGCGUUAAUCGGAAUUACGUGGGACGUAAGCGCGCGUAGGUUGGUUUAGUUAAGUUGGAUGUAGAAACGUCCCCGGGCUACAACCGUGGGAACUGCUAUUACAAAACUGACAAGCUAGAGUAUGGUAGAGGGUGGUGGAAUUACCUGUGUAGCGGUAGAAAUGCGUAGAUAUAGGAAGGAACACCAGUGGCGAAGGCGACCACCUGGACUGAUACUGACACUGAGGUGCGAAAGCGUGGGGAGCAAACAGGAUUAGAAACCCGUGUAGU